UAUAAACAAAUCAAUGUGUUAAACUCUGCUGAGAAAGCAAAGAGGGUUGUGAAUGUGAGAGAGAUUGAAAGCUUGAAUGUUAAAAUCAGCAAUAUGAUUGAGGAACAUAAUAAAUUAAAAUCUGAACUGCACAUCAAAGAGAAUAGAUUGUCUGACCUUCAGAAUGAACUCACAGAAUCACAGGGGUCAUUGGCCAGGAGUGAAAUAACAAUUGAGAAUCACAACAUUUUAAUAUCAAUGAAGGAUAACAAGAUUAGUGAGGUUGAAACGGACAUAAAAAUGAAGGAAAUGUUGAUUAGAAGUAAAUCGGAUGAGAUUGCGGAAAUGAAGAAAACUCAGCUUGUUAUGAAAAACAAACU
This is a long non-coding RNA of Octopus sinensis (East Asian common octopus), 359 nucleotides long. RefSeq lists it as uncharacterized. The transcript is spliced from 4 exons. The record is from RefSeq and is a predicted model, not a curated record. Lineage: Eukaryota; Metazoa; Mollusca; Cephalopoda; Octopoda; Octopodidae.